GCUGGGUACGGUGGCGCAUGCCUGUAAUCCCAGUGGCUUGGGAGGCUGAGAUAGGUGGAUGACAAGUUCAAAGCCAGCUUGAGCAAAAGUAAGGUACUAAGCAAUUCAGUGAGACCCUGUCUGUA
RNAcentral lists this small RNA (125 nucleotides) under Marmota monax (woodchuck). Lineage: Eukaryota; Metazoa; Chordata; Mammalia; Rodentia; Sciuridae. The record is from RNAcentral.